CAGUCGCCGCGGUAAUACAGAGGGUGCGAGCGUUAAUCGGAUUUACUGGGCGUAAAGCGUGCGUAGGCGGCUUUUUAAGUCGGAUGUGAAAUCCCUGAGCUUAACUUAGGAAUUGCAUUCGAUACUGGGAAGCUAGAGUAUGGGAGAGGAUGGUAGAAUUCCAGGUGUAGCGGUGAAAUGCGUAGAGAUCUGGAGGAAUACCGAUGGCGAAGGCAGCCAUCUGGCCUAAUACUGACGCUGAGGUACGAAAGCAUGGGGAGCAAACAGGAUUAGAUACCCGAGUAGUCCCUGUCUCUUAUAA
RNAcentral lists this ribosomal RNA (301 nucleotides) under uncultured bacterium. RNAcentral's name for it is "partial 16S ribosomal RNA". It matches the Rfam family "Bacterial small subunit ribosomal RNA", at positions 509 to 809 of the family's 1533-position model. The record is from RNAcentral.